RNAcentral lists this ribosomal RNA (460 nucleotides) under uncultured bacterium. RNAcentral's name for it is "partial 16S ribosomal RNA". It matches the Rfam family "Bacterial small subunit ribosomal RNA", at positions 338 to 795 of the family's 1533-position model. The record is from RNAcentral.
CCUACGGGAGGCAGCAGUGAGGAAUAUUGGUCAAUGGGCGUAAGCCUGAACCAGCCAAGUCGCGUGAGGGAUGAAGGUUCUAUGGAUCGUAAACCUCUUUUAUCAGGGAAUAAAGUGUGGGACGUGUCCUGUUUUGUAUGUACCUUAUGAAUAAGGAUCGGCUAACUCCGUGCCAGCAGCCGCGGUAAUACGGAGGAUCCGAGCGUUAUCCGGAUUUAUUGGGUUUAACGGGUGCGUAGGCGGCCUUUUAAGUCAGCGGUGAAAGUCUGUGGCUCAACCAUAGAAUUGCCGUUGAAACUGGGAGGCUUGAGUAUGUUUGAGGCAGGCGGAAUGCGUGGUGUAGCGGUGAAAUGCUUAGAUAUCACGCAGAACCCCGAUUGCGAAGGCAGCCUGCCAAGCCAUGACUGACGCUGAUGCACGAAAGCGUGGGGAUCAAACAGGAGUAGAUACCCUGGUAGUC